CCGGAUGAACCGUGCAAAUUGUUUUUCGUAUUACUUAUUUCAAUUAUGUUGAACGGGAAACAAUUUGUGUAGCUUGCCUGGAGAAGCAACCUAAA
Molecule: microRNA precursor, 95 nt
Filed under: Drosophila virilis
Lineage: Eukaryota; Metazoa; Arthropoda; Insecta; Diptera; Drosophilidae
Description: microRNA dvi-mir-9704 precursor (dvi-mir-9704-2)
Source: miRBase by way of RNAcentral